CCAGGCCCUACGGGGUGCAGCAGGCGCGAAACCUCCGCAAUGUGAGAAAUCGCGACGGGGGGAUCCCAAGUGCCAUUCUUAACGGGAUGGCUUUUCAUUAGUGUAAAGAGCUUUUGGAAUAAGAGCUGGGCAAGACCGGUGCCAGCCGCCGCGGUAACACCGGCAGCUCUAGUGGUAGCAGUUUUUAUUGGGCCUAAAGCGUCCGUAGCCGGUUUAAUAAGUCUCUGGUGAAAUCCUGCAGCUUAACUGUGGGAAUUGCUGGAGAUACUAUUAGACUUGAGAUCGGGAGAGGUUAGAGGUACUCCCAGGGUAGAGGUGAAAUUCUGUAAUCCUGGGAGGACCGCCUGUUGCGAAGGCGUCUGACUGGAACGAUUCUGACGGUGAGGGACGAAAGCUAGGGGCGCGAACCGGAUUAGAUACCCGGGUAGUCCUAGCUGUAAACGAUGCGGACUUGGUGUUGGGGUGGCUUUGAGCUGUCCCAGUGCCCAAGGGAAGCUGUUAAGUCCGCCGCCUGAGAAGUACGGCCGCAAGACUGAAACUUAAAGGAAUUGCCGGGGGAGCAUCACAACGCGUGGAGCCUGCAGUUUAAUUGGAGUCCCCGCCGGAAC
This 608-nucleotide ribosomal RNA is filed under the name uncultured archaeon. RNAcentral describes it as "bacterial SSU rRNA". It matches the Rfam family "Archaeal small subunit ribosomal RNA", at positions 316 to 924 of the family's 1478-position model. The record is from RNAcentral.